Molecule: transfer RNA, 62 nt
Filed under: Valentia hoffmanni
Lineage: Eukaryota; Metazoa; Arthropoda; Insecta; Hemiptera; Reduviidae
Description: tRNA-Cys
Source: RNAcentral
GGCUUUAUAGUUAAUUUAUAAUAUUAGACUGCAAUUCUAAAGUAGUGUUUGUACUAAAGCUU